RNAcentral lists this transfer RNA (73 nucleotides) under Anguilla anguilla (European eel). RNAcentral describes it as "tRNA-OTHER". Lineage: Eukaryota; Metazoa; Chordata; Actinopteri; Anguilliformes; Anguillidae. The record is from RNAcentral.
GGCACAGUGGUGCAGUGAGUAGCACUGUUGCCUCACAGCAAGAAGGUCCUUGGUUCAAAUCCCGGCCGGGUCC